CCUACGGGGGGCAGCAGUGAGGAAUAUUGGUCAAUGGGCGGGAGCCUGAACCAGCCAAGCCGCGUGAGGGAAGAAGGUACAGCGUAUCGUAAACCCCUUUUGUCAGGGAACAAAGGCGGGGACUAGUCCCUGGAUGAGUGUACCUGAAGAAAAAGCAUCGGCUAACUCCGUGCCAGCAGCCGCGGUAAUACGGAGGGGGCAAGCGUUAUCCGGAUUUACUGGGUGUAAAGGGAGCGCAGACGGCAGUGCAAGUCUGGAGUGAAAGCCCGGGGCCCAACCCCGGAACUGCGCUGGAAACUGUGCGGCUAGAGUACUGGAGGGGCAGGCGGAAUUCCUAGUGUAGCGGUGAAAUGCGUAGAUAUUAGGAGGAACACCAGUGGCGAAGGCGGCCUGCUGGACAGUAACUGACGUUGAGGCUCGAAAGCGUGGGGAGCAAACAGGAUUAGAUACCCCUGUAGUC
RNAcentral lists this ribosomal RNA (460 nucleotides) under uncultured bacterium. RNAcentral's name for it is "partial 16S ribosomal RNA". It matches the Rfam family "Bacterial small subunit ribosomal RNA", at positions 338 to 795 of the family's 1533-position model. The record is from RNAcentral.